RNAcentral lists this ribosomal RNA (473 nucleotides) under uncultured organism. RNAcentral's name for it is "partial 16S ribosomal RNA". It matches the Rfam family "Bacterial small subunit ribosomal RNA", at positions 334 to 798 of the family's 1533-position model. The record is from RNAcentral.
CACUCCUGCGGGAGGCAGCAGUGGGGAAUUUUGGACAAUGGGCGAAAGCCUGAUCCAGCAAUGCCGCGUGAGUGAAGAAGGCCUUCGGGUUGUAAAGCUCUUUUGUCAGGGAAGAAACGGUGAGAGCUAAUAUCUCUUGCUAAUGACGGUACCUGAAGAAUAAGCACCGGCUAACUACGUGCCAGCAGCCGCGGUAAUACGUAGGGUGCAAGCGUUAAUCGGAAUUACUGGGCGUAAAGCGUGCGCAGGCGGUUUUGUAAGUCUGAUGUGAAAUCCCCGGGCUCAACCUGGGAAUUGCAUUGGAGACUGCAAGGCUAGAAUCUGGCAGAGGGGGGUAGAAUUCCACGUGUAGCAGUGAAAUGCGUAGAUAUGUGGAGGAACACCGAUGGCGAAGGCAGCCCCCUGGGUCAAGAUUGACGCUCAUGCACGAAAGCGUGGGGAGCAAACAGGAUUAGAUACCCCUGUAGUCCCAU